This 253-nucleotide ribosomal RNA is filed under the name uncultured bacterium. Its description in RNAcentral is "partial 16S ribosomal RNA". It matches the Rfam family "Bacterial small subunit ribosomal RNA", at positions 524 to 776 of the family's 1533-position model. The record is from RNAcentral.
UACGAAGGGUGCAAGCGUUGUUCGGAUUUAUUGGGCGUAAAGCGUACGUAGGCGGUUUUAUAAGUCAGGUGUGAAAUCUUGGGGCUCAACCCCGAAACUGCGCCUGAAACUGUAGAACUAGAAUCUUGGAGGGGAAGGUAGAAUUUCGCAUGUAGGGGUAAAAUCCGUAGAGAUGCGAAGGAACAUCAGAGGCGAAGGCGACCUUCUGGACAAGUAUUGACGCUGAGGUACGAAAGCGUGGGGAGCAAACAGG